RNAcentral lists this ribosomal RNA (492 nucleotides) under uncultured soil bacterium. RNAcentral describes it as "bacterial SSU rRNA". It matches the Rfam family "Bacterial small subunit ribosomal RNA", at positions 26 to 517 of the family's 1533-position model. The record is from RNAcentral.
AGAUUGAACGCUGGCGGCAGGCCUAACACAUGCAAGUCGAGCGGUAGAGAGGUGCUUGCAUCUCUUGAGAGCGGCGGACGGGUGAGUAAUGCCUAGGAAUCUGCCUAGUGGUGGGGGAUAACGUUCGGAAACGGACGCUAAUACCGCAUACGUCCUACGGGAGAAAGCGGGGGACCUUCGGGCCUCGCGCCAUUAGAUGAGCCUAGGUCGGAUUAGCUAGUUGGUGAGGUAAUGGCUCACCAAGGCGACGAUCCGUAACUGGUCUGAGAGGAUGAUCAGUCACACUGGAACUGAGACACGGUCCAGACUCCUACGGAGGCAGCAGUGGGGAAUAUUGGACAAUGGGCGAAAGCCUGAUCCAGCCAUGCCGCGUGUGUGAAGAAGGUCUUCGGAUUGUAAAGCACUUUAAGUUGGAGGAAGGUUGUAACCUAAUACGUUGCAACUUUGACGUUACCGACAGAAUAAACACCGGCUAACUCGUGCCAGCAGCCG